Molecule: RNA transcript, 3147 nt
Organism: Daucus carota subsp. sativus
Lineage: Eukaryota; Viridiplantae; Streptophyta; Magnoliopsida; Apiales; Apiaceae
Gene name: actin-related protein 2/3 complex subunit 1A
Exons: 17
Source: RefSeq, a predicted model, not a curated record
UUUAUUUACCGUUGGCAACUAAUCUGAGAAAUACUCAAUCUGAAAAGUUCAUCUGUCCGCGACUCCGCGCACCGCUUAAUUAUUUUCGGACUAGACGAUCCCGACUUGAAACCGACUCGUAAAUCAAAACUUAAAGGCUCUCCUCGUCUCUCCGUCCUCUCAGGUGCGUCAAUCGGAUAAUCCUCACCAAGCUCCCCCCCUCAUUUUCGGCAGAUCGUCAAAAAUUGAAUGGCGGCAACAGCAGCUCAUCAGUUCGCUCAGUGCACUACUUGUCACGCUUGGAGCCCUGAUCAUUCCAUGAUUGCGUUCUGCCCAAACAGUAAUGAAGUACACAUCUAUAGAUUAUUACAAGAAAAGUGGGAGAAGAUGCAUGUUCUUCAAAAGCACGAUCAAAUUGUUUCUGGGAUAGAUUGGAGCAUAUCAUCCAACAGAAUCGUCACUGUAUCUCAUGAUAGGAAUUCAUAUGUGUGGAACCAGGAAGGGGCAGAUUGGGUUCCCACUCUUGUUAUAUUAAGGAUAAACCGUGCUGCACUUUGUGUUCAGUGGAGUCCCAGAGGGAACAAAUUUGCUGUUGGAAGUGGUGCCAAAACUGUUUGCAUAUGCUACUACGAGCAAGAAAAUAACUGGUGGGUCAGCAAGCUUAUAAGGAAAAAACACGACUCUUCUGUGACAAGCGUUGCUUGGCAUCCUAAUAAUAUUUUACUAGCUACUACAUCUACUGAUGCAAAGUGCCGAAUAUUUUCCACUUUCAUAAAGGGUGUUGAUAAGAGGAGUUCAGGAGCAGGGUCUUCAUCGGAUGCAAAAUUUGGCGAGCAAAUUGUUCAACUUGAUCUUUCAUUUGGCUGGGCAUUUGGUGUCAAAUGGUCACCAAGUGGCAAAACCUUAGCUUAUACUGGUCAUAAUUCCGUUAUCCACUUUGUGGAUGACAUUGGUCCUUCCCCUUCUGCCCAAACCGUAGCAUUCCGUGAUUUACCACUUCGUGAUGUAUUAUUUGUUUCUGAGAGAAUGGUCAUUGGUGUUGGAUACGAUUGCAAUCCAAUGGUAUUUGCGGCAGAUGAGAGAGGAAUAUGGAGCUUCAUCAGGUUCCUUACUGAAAGGAAAACAGCAUCUGCUGGUGUUAAAUAUGGUUCACAGCUGUCAGGAGCAUUUGGGAAACUGUAUGGACAAUCGAAAUACAGCACCGGCAAUGAUACUGUCCAAGUUUCUAUUCCCGAUGGAAAUGUCCAUGAAAACUGUAUCAAUUGUAUUAUGCCACUCAAUAAAGCUAAGGACUCUACAACAAUGCGCUUUAGCACCUCAGGGAUGGAUGGAAAAGUUGUGAUAUGGGAUUUGGACAACCAACUAGAUCUGCAUGAGUAUAUAUAGUUGUCUCUGACAAGUUCCAGAUGCAUUUGAUAUCAUCUGUAAGUCUAUUGUACUAUUGAUGUGGUUUCAUCUUUCAUCAUCAGUUUCUAUUUGGUCGGUCUCUCUUUUACUAUGUAAUGAAAUUAAAAUUUAGCAUUUCUUUUCCUGUUUUAAACAUUGACUUCUAGUGUAUAUAUAUCUGUGUGUUUUAUAAGGUUUGUCCUGAUUUAUGAUUGGGCAUUGGAUCUGAGGUCAUUUAUGAUGGUUCUUGUCUUCUAGAGGAUAGGCUUGAAACUAGAGUGAUAUUUAUAUUGAGGAUAACAUUUUUUUUAAUGUAACAAAUUUAUUCUUUUUGCUAGUGCUUGAGAAUAACCAUAAACAUCCACUCGUUGGAAUAAAAAUGUGGCAUGCUGUAUGCCUGUAUAUAUUCGUCUAGUCUAGUACUCUAGUGUCGUUAAGACUUAAGAUACAACAAUACUGUAUAUAGUUGCGCAGAGAGAUGCACAAAACCAGAUUCGGGCUGGCCUAAAAAAUAUGACUUUUUUUAAAAUCGGUUUAGAGUGGGCUUUUUCAAAACAGGUCGGGCCGGACCAAAAUUUCUUAACAAUAUCUAGGCCCCCGGAUCGGGAUUUUUCUUAUACUCUAGAUAUAUUUUUCGAAUAUUCAAUAUAUAUAUAUAUAUAAUAAUAUUCAAUAUAUAUAUAUAUAUAUUAAAAUAUUAGUAUAUAUGACUAUUUUCUGAUUUGGCUAAAAAAUAGCAAAUUAACCCAGAUUUUAGCAAAAUUUGAUAAAAACAUUAAUUUGUUUGAGUUUCUACUAUUUUUUUAAUAAGAAUCUGGACUAUACCCAGCUUUUACCCGGCCCCAAUCGAGCUUUAAUAAGGAUUCGGGUUUUUUCCGGAUCAGGCCAAAUCCGGGUUUUUUUCGAGCAAAGCCAGGCUUUUGGGAAAUAUACGUGGCCCUUUUAGGUCCUUGGUACCAAAUGGCUACUUUAUGCUUACUCUUCAUUUUGUCUCGAGUAUCGUGACACUCGAUACUCGGACAUGGUAAUGGACACUCCGACACUUAAUUUAGGUCAAAAACAUGUAAAAUUUUCACAAUAUCACCAAGUUGAUACUCGGACACGUAUCCACGUUGGACAUUUUCACCCGAGUCCGGGUAACAUUGCCGGACAGUUCUUUUUAGGAUCGUUCUUUUCCGAAUUGGAUUGCACGGACUUCUCGGAUUUGUUUUUUUGUGCGUCUAUGGUUGCGGUUGUAAAUACAGGAUUGCAGUUAGGUAAAGCAGGAACUGUGCCACCCUUGGUAUAGAACAUUCUUGCAAAUGUUUGAGAUUUGCAGUGAUCCUACAUCGUUCAAGUUCAUUACUGGAGAAAUUGGAGUAGUAAUUAAUGUGGUAGAAAUGAAGAAAUAAUAGCUUUCUGGCUUGCACCCAGCUGCUUCAGCCUUCAGAGUAUGGAUCAGUGACGGUGUUUUGUUGUAUGGGACCUAUUGCUACCAUUUUGGGAUCUGAGAAUGUGGUCAAUAUCUAUAAAGUGAACACUGAACAACAUUGUUUUUUCUUGGAUUCCCAAAUCAGUUUGUAAAUUUAAUAGAAGGGGAUGUUCCUUGGAAGGCUUACAAGUCGAAUGUUAUGCUUUAUCAUAUGGAAUAGUGUAUAUUAAAUGUUAAAUGUAGGUAGGUCAGAUUCGAUUAAGAGAAAAAGCUUGAUAGGUGGUUGUUCUUUCACAUCACAAGGACUCCCUUCAAUUUCUUGACUGCUACAGCUUAUAUUUGUCAAUAUAUUAGAUCCCAAGUUUUUUUUC